CAAGAUCUAGGUGAUGGGGUACCACCUUUAACCGCCCUUUUUUGGUGCUGAUGACUCCUGCUUCAAC
This 67-nucleotide non-coding RNA is filed under the name Cecembia lonarensis. RNAcentral's name for it is "Fluoride sequence". It matches the Rfam family "Fluoride riboswitch aptamer (crcB RNA motif)". The record is from RNAcentral. Lineage: Bacteria; Pseudomonadati; Bacteroidota; Cytophagia; Cytophagales; Cyclobacteriaceae. RNAcentral also lists the same sequence under 1 other name.